CCUACGGGUGGCAGCAGUGGGGAAUAUUGGACAAUGGGGGCAACCCUGAUCCAGCCAUGCCGCGUGUGUGAAGAAGGCCCUCGGGUUGUAAAGCACUUUCAGUGAGGAAGAACGCCUGGUGGUUAAUACCCAUCAGGAAAGACAUCACUCACAGAAGAAGCACCGGCUAACUCCGUGCCAGCAGCCGCGGUAAUACGGAGGGUGCGAGCGUUAAUCGGAAUUACUGGGCGUAAAGCGCGCGUAGGUGGCUUGAUAAGCCGGUUGUGAAAGCCCCGGGCUCAACCUGGGAACGGCAUCCGGAACUGUCAAGCUUGAGUGGAGGAGAGGAAGGGAGAAUUCCCGGUGUAGCGGUGAAAUGCGUAGAGAUCGGGAGGAAUACCAGUGGCGAAGGCGGCCUUCUGGACUGACACUGACACUGAGGUGCGAAAGCGUGGGUAGCAAACAGGAUUAGAUACCCGGGUAGUC
Molecule: ribosomal RNA, 465 nt
Filed under: Vreelandella stevensii
Lineage: Bacteria; Pseudomonadati; Pseudomonadota; Gammaproteobacteria; Oceanospirillales; Halomonadaceae
Description: partial 16S ribosomal RNA
Rfam family: Bacterial small subunit ribosomal RNA
Source: RNAcentral